Molecule: microRNA, 22 nt
Filed under: Nautilus pompilius
Lineage: Eukaryota; Metazoa; Mollusca; Cephalopoda; Nautilida; Nautilidae
Description: Npo-Mir-2-o49_5p (mature (co-guide))
Source: RNAcentral
UCAUCAAAGUGACUGUGAUGUG